Molecule: microRNA precursor, 96 nt
Filed under: Hordeum vulgare
Lineage: Eukaryota; Viridiplantae; Streptophyta; Magnoliopsida; Poales; Poaceae
Description: miR5049d stem-loop (hvu-MIR5049d)
Source: miRBase by way of RNAcentral
AUUCUACUUCCUCUGUACCAAAAUAAUUGCAGUUGGAGAGAAAUAGACUAGUAUUUCUCCCCAACUACAAUUAUUUAGGAACGGAGGGAGAAUUUU